UAACAAUCCGGAAACGGGUGCUAAUACCGCCAUAGUUUUCUUGAUCGCAUGAUUGAGAAAGGAAAGACGGCCUUUGUGCUGUCGCUUAUGGAUGGACCCGCGGCGUAUUAGUUAGUUGGUGAGGUAACGGCUCACCAAGACGAUGAUACGUAGCCGACCUGAGAGGGUGAUCGGCCACAUUGGGACUGAGACACGGCCCAAACUCCUACGGGAGGCAGCAGUAGGGAAUCUUCCGCAAUGGACGAAAGUCUGACGGAGCAACGCCGCGUGAGUGAAGAAAGGUUUUCGGAUCGUAAAACUCUGUUGUCAGAGAAGAACAAGUUGGAGAGUAACUGCUCCAGCCUUGACGGUAUCUGACCAGAAAGCCACGGCUAACUACGUGCCAGCCGCCGC
Molecule: ribosomal RNA, 393 nt
Filed under: uncultured bacterium
Lineage: Bacteria
Description: bacterial SSU rRNA
Rfam family: Bacterial small subunit ribosomal RNA
Source: RNAcentral